UACGAACUGUGCAAACGUUAUUCGGAAUCACUGGGCUUAAAGGGUGCGUAGGCGGCUAUUUAAGUAGGGUGUGAAAGCCCCCGGCUCAACCGGGGAAUUGCGUCCUAAACUGGAUAGCUCGAGUGAGAUAGAGGUGUGCGGAACUUCCGGUGGAGCGGUGAAAUGUGUUGAUAUCGGAAGGAACGCCGGUGGCGAAAGCGGCACACUGGGUCUCAACUGACGCUGAGGCACGAAAGCCAGGGGAGCGAACGGG
Molecule: ribosomal RNA, 253 nt
Filed under: uncultured bacterium
Lineage: Bacteria
Description: partial 16S ribosomal RNA
Rfam family: Bacterial small subunit ribosomal RNA
Source: RNAcentral